AGAACCCGGGGCGGAGCUCCCCAGCCCUCACUGCGGUCUUUCUUUCCAGUGGCCUCGGACGGUUAGGUCAUGUCUUUUCGAGCUCCUCUACACGUGGGGGGUGAUCAAGCCAGCUGGUGGCCCCCAUAGGUAUGAAACCAUUCACGACAAGGGAUUUCAGGACCAGCACCUGUAUGUGGACUUCAUGUGAUUUGUGAUACUUCUCCUGGGUGGUUACUAAGCUUACAAAGAGGUCAGAAGUACAAAAGGCCUUGGCCCCAGUGAAGGAACAGUGAUGAAAAGCCCAGAAACCUGUCCCCCAUGAAACUCCUGGCAGGGCAGAAGGAUUCAAUAAGGUGGCGCUACCAGCACAGGGAGGAACUGAUUCCUGGUUGAAGAAGAAUAAUUAUUAAUUCAUGUUGGGUUCCCUGUGCCAGUACACAUUCCCUAAGAGAUUUGGGUGGCUUAAUCAUGCAAAUUAAAAUAAUCUAAUAGGAUUUGCUACUUGAUAAGUGAAAGUAAUUACUCAUCUUCUCCCUGUUGACUUGAUUAUUGUUAUUUUAAACAUAAUUCUCCUUCUGGUAUAAUGAGUGGCUGAAAUGACAUGGAAAUGUUAAAUAAAACCUUAUAUAUAAAACUCCU
Molecule: long non-coding RNA, 621 nt
Organism: Vombatus ursinus (common wombat)
Lineage: Eukaryota; Metazoa; Chordata; Mammalia; Diprotodontia; Vombatidae
Source: Ensembl